CGCGUAGGCGGCCGAUCAAGUCAGGCGUGAAAGCCCCGGGCUCAACCUGGGAAUGGCGCUUGGGACUGGUUGGCUUGAGUUCGGGAGAGGAGAGUGGAAUUCCCAGUGUAGAGGUGAAAUUCGUAGAUAUUGGGAAGAACACCGGUGGCGAAGGCGGCUCUCUGGACCGAGACUGACGCUGAGGCGCGAAAGCGUGGGGAGCAAACA
Molecule: ribosomal RNA, 207 nt
Filed under: uncultured bacterium
Lineage: Bacteria
Description: partial 16S ribosomal RNA
Rfam family: Bacterial small subunit ribosomal RNA
Source: RNAcentral